This is a non-coding RNA of Nomascus leucogenys (northern white-cheeked gibbon), 45 nucleotides long. The record is from Rfam. Lineage: Eukaryota; Metazoa; Chordata; Mammalia; Primates; Hylobatidae.
AAAAAGGAUUUUUUAAAAACCACAUAUAUAAAAAGAAAACGUAGG